This 380-nucleotide ribosomal RNA is filed under the name uncultured eukaryote. RNAcentral describes it as "partial 18S ribosomal RNA". It matches the Rfam family "Eukaryotic small subunit ribosomal RNA", at positions 592 to 975 of the family's 1831-position model. The record is from RNAcentral.
CAAUAGCGUAUAUUAAAGCUGUUGCGGUUAAAAAGCUCGUAGUUGGAUUUCUGUCAAGGACAACUGGUCCGCCCUCCGGGUGAGCACAUAGUUUGGUCUUGACAUCUUGCUGGAAGCUGUUGCUGCACUUGGCUGUGUGGCGCAGUGUUCAGCACUUUCACUUUGAGGAAAUUGGAGUGUUUCAAGCAGGCACAUGCCUUUGGACACAGUAGCAUGGAAUAAUUAGAUUGGGCUUUUGCUCCAAUUUGUCGGUUUCUGGAGCUGAGGUGAGAAUUAAUGGGGAUUGUUGGGGGCAUCCGAAUUUAGCCGUCAGAGGUGAAAUUCUUGGAUCUGCUAAAGACGGACAACUGCGAAAGCGUUUGCCCAGGAUGUUUUCAUUG